Molecule: unclassified non-coding RNA, 348 nt
Filed under: soil metagenome
Description: partial contains 5.8S ribosomal RNA, internal transcribed spacer 2, and large subunit ribosomal RNA
Rfam family: 5.8S ribosomal RNA (bases 1-120)
Source: RNAcentral
GAUGAAGAACGUAGCGAAAUGCGAUAAGUAAUGUGAAUUGCAGAAUUCAGUGAAUCAUCGAAUCUUUGAACGCACAUUGCGCCCGCCAGUAUUCUGGCGGGCAUGCCUGUCUGAGCGUCAUUUCAACCCUCAUGCCCCUAGGGCGUGGUGUUGGGGAUCGGCCAAAGCCCGCGAGGGACGGCCGGCCCCUAAAUUUAGUGGCGGACCCGUCGUGGCCUCCUCUGCGAAGUAGUGAUAUUCCGCAUCGGAGAGCGACGAGCCCCUGCCGUUAAACCCCCAACUUUCCAAGGUUGACCUCAGAUCAGGUAGGAAUACCCGCUGAACUUAAGCAUAUCAAUAAGCGGAGGA